GACGAACGCUGGCGGCGUGCUUAACACAUGCCAGCCGAACGGAAAGGCCCUGCUUUUGUGGGGUGCUCGAGUGGCGAACGGGUGAGUAACACGUGAGUAACCUGCCCUUGACUUUGGGAUAACUUCAGGAAACUGGGGCUAAUACCGGAUAGGAGCUCCUGCUGCAUGGUGGGGGUUGGAAAGUUUCGGCGGUUGGGGAUGGACUCGCGGCUUAUCAGCUUGUUGGUGGGGUAGUGGCUUACCAAGGCUUUGACGGGUAGCCGGCCUGAGAGGGUGACCGGCCACAUUGGGACUGAGAUACGGCCCAGACUCCUACGGGAGGCAGCAGUGGGGAAUAUUGCACAAUGGGCGGAAGCCUGAUGCAGCAACGCCGCGUGCGGGAUGACGGCCUUCGGGUUGUAAACCGCUUUCGCCUGUGACGAAGCGUGAGUGACGGUAAUGGGUAAAGAAGCACCGGCUAACUACGUG
RNAcentral lists this ribosomal RNA (468 nucleotides) under uncultured bacterium. RNAcentral describes it as "partial 16S ribosomal RNA". It matches the Rfam family "Bacterial small subunit ribosomal RNA", at positions 28 to 507 of the family's 1533-position model. The record is from RNAcentral.